UAAAAACACAGCACUCUGCAAACACGAAAGUGGACGUAUAGGGUGUGACGCCUGCCCGGUGCUGGAAGAUUAAAUGAUGGGGUGCAAGCUCUUGAUUGAAGUCCCAGUAAACGGCGGCCGUAACUAUAACGGUCCUAAGGUAGCGAAAUUCCUUGUCGGGUAAGUUCCGACCUGCACGAAUGGCGUAACGAUGGCCACACUGUCUCCUCCCGAGACUCAGCGAAGUUGAAAUGUUUGUGAUGAUGCAAUCUACCCGCGGCUAGACGGAAAGACCCCAUGAACCUUUACUGUAGCUUUGCAUUGGACUUUGAAUCAAUCUGUGUAGGAUAGGUGGGAGGCUUUGAAGCGGGGACGCUAGUUCUCGUGGAGCCAACCUUGAAAUACCACCCUGGUUCAUUUGAGGUUCUAACCUUGGUCCGUUAUCCGGAUCGGGGACAGUGCAUGGUAGGCAGUUUGACUGGGGCGGUCUCCUCCUAAAGUGUAACGGAGGAGUUCGAAGGUACGCUAAUUACGGUCGGACAUCGUGAUGAUAGUGCAAUGGCAUAAGCGUGCUUAACUGCGAGACCGACAAGUCGAGCAGGUACGAAAGUAGGACAUAGUGAUCCGGUGGUUCUGUAUGGAAGGGCCAUCGCUCAACGGAUAAAAGGUACUCUGGGGAUAACAGGCUGAUUCCUCCCAAGAGUUCAUAUCGACGGGGGAGUUUGGCACCUCGAUGUCGGCUCAUCACAUCCUGGGGCUGUAGCCGGUCCCAAGGGUAUGGCUGUUCGCCAUUUAAAGUGGUACGUGAGCUGGGUUUAAAACGUCGUGAGACAGUUUGGUCCCUAUCUGCCGUGGGCGUUGGAAAUUUGAAGGGGGCUGCUCCUAGUACGAGAGGACCGGAGUGGACGAACCUCUGGUGUACCGGUUGUCACGCCAGUGGCAUUGCCGGGUAGCUAAGUUCGGAAGAGAUAACCGCUGAAAGCAUCUAAGCGGGAAACUUGCCUUGAGAUGAGAUUUCCCAGAGCCUUGAGCUCUUUAAAGGGUCGUUCGAGACCAGGACGUUGAUAGGCUGGGUGUGGAAGUGCAGUAAUGCAUUAAGCUAACCAGUACUAAUUGCCCGUACGGCUUGUCCCU
Molecule: ribosomal RNA, 1113 nt
Filed under: food metagenome
Description: bacterial LSU rRNA
Rfam family: Bacterial large subunit ribosomal RNA
Source: RNAcentral